UUUACAGAUAGGGAUCAACCUAGCGUGUAGUCAGUGACACGUUCGGUCCACCUGAAUAGGUGAUGAGCCCUCUAAUAAGGGUAAAGAUAUCAUUCCUGAGGACCAAGAAUAAGAGUACUCCAAACUCUAGCUAUUCUUACUGCAGUGGGCGGAUUUUCGUGGACCAGCCUAU
Molecule: non-coding RNA, 172 nt
Organism: Theobroma cacao (cacao)
Lineage: Eukaryota; Viridiplantae; Streptophyta; Magnoliopsida; Malvales; Malvaceae
Source: RefSeq, a predicted model, not a curated record